Molecule: ribosomal RNA, 253 nt
Filed under: uncultured bacterium
Lineage: Bacteria
Description: partial 16S ribosomal RNA
Rfam family: Bacterial small subunit ribosomal RNA
Source: RNAcentral
UACAGAGGUGGCAAGCGUUGUUCGGAAUUACUGGGCGUAAAGGGCGCGUAGGCGGUCCGAUAAGUCCCGUGUGAAAUCCCUCGGCUCAACUGAGGAAUGGCACGGGAAACUGACGGACUUGAGUUCGGGAGAGGGAAGCGGAAUUCCGGGUGUAGCGGUGAAAUGCGUAGAUAUCCGGAGGAACACCGGUGGCGAAGGCGGCUUCCUGGACCGACACUGACGCUGAGGCGCGAAAGCUAGGGGAGCAAACGGG